Molecule: ribosomal RNA, 486 nt
Filed under: Burkholderia cenocepacia
Lineage: Bacteria; Pseudomonadati; Pseudomonadota; Betaproteobacteria; Burkholderiales; Burkholderiaceae
Description: bacterial SSU rRNA
Rfam family: Bacterial small subunit ribosomal RNA
Source: RNAcentral
UCAGAGUUUUGAUCCUGGCUCAGAUUGAACGCUGGCGGCAUGCCUUACACAUGCAAGUCGAACGGCAGCACGGGUGCUUGCACCUGGUGGCGAGUGGCGAACGGGUGAGUAAUACAUCGGAACAUGUCCUGUAGUGGGGGAUAGCCCGGCGAAAGCCGGAUUAAUACCGCAUACGAUCCAUGGAUGAAAGCGGGGGACCUUCGGGCCUCGCGCUAUAGGGUUGGCCGAUGGCUGAUUAGCUAGUUGGUGGGGUAAAGGCCUACCAAGGCGACGAUCAGUAGCUGGUCUGAGAGGACGACCAGCCACACUGGGACUGAGACACGGCCCAGACUCCUACGGGAGGCAGCAGUGGGGAAUUUUGGACAAUGGGCGAAAGCCUGAUCCAGCAAUGCCGCGUGUGUGAAGAAGGCCUUCGGGUUGUAAAGCACUUUUGUCCGGAAAGAAAUCCUUGGCUCUAAUACAGUCGGGGGAUGACGGUACCGAAGA